AGAGUUUGAUCCUGGCUCAGGAUGAACGCUAGCUACAGGCUUAACACAUGCAAGUCGAGGGGAAACGAUAGAGAAAGCUUGCUUUUUCUAGGCGUCGACCGGCGCACGGGUGAGUAACGCGUAUCCAACCUGCCCACCACUUGGGGAUAACCUUGCGAAAGUAAGACUAAUACCCAAUGAUAUCUCAAGAAGACAUCUGAAUGAGAUUAAAGAUUUAUCGGUGAUGGAUGGGGAUGCGUCUGAUUAGCUUGUUGGCGGGGUAACGGCCCACCAAGGCUACGAUCAGUAGGGGUUCUGAGAGGAAGGUCCCCCACAUUGGAACUGAGACACGGUCCAAACUCCUACGGGAGGCAGCAGUGAGGAAUAUUGGUCAAUGGGCGAGAGCCUGAACCAGCCAAGUAGCGUGCAGGAUGACGGCCCUAUGGGUUGUAAACUGCUUUUUAUAAGGGAAUAAAGUGAGUCUCGUGAGACUUUUUGCAUGUACCUUAUGAUUAAGGACCGGGCUAAUUCCGUGCCAGCAGCCGCGGUAAUACGGAAGGUCCGGGCGUUUAUCCGGAUUUAUUGGGUUUAAAGGGAGCGUAGGCCGGAGAUUAAGCGUGUUGUGAAAUGUAGACGCUCAACGUCUGCACUGCAGCGCGAACUGGUUUCCUUGAGUACGCACAAAGUGGGCGGAAUUCGUGGUGUAGCGGUGAAAUGCUUAGAUUCCACGAAGAACUCCGAUUGCGAAGGCAGCUCACUGGAGCGCAACUGACGCUGAAGCUCGAAAGUGCGGGUAUCGAACAGGAUUAGAUACCCUGGUAGUCCGCACGGUAAACGAUGGAUGCCCGCUGUUGGUCUGAAUAGGUCAGCGGCCAAGCGAAAGCAUUAAGCAUCCCACCUGGGGAGUACGCCGGCAACGGUGAAACUCAAAUGAAUUGACG
RNAcentral lists this ribosomal RNA (920 nucleotides) under uncultured bacterium. RNAcentral's name for it is "bacterial SSU rRNA". It matches the Rfam family "Bacterial small subunit ribosomal RNA", at positions 8 to 915 of the family's 1533-position model. The record is from RNAcentral.